Molecule: ribosomal RNA, 271 nt
Filed under: uncultured bacterium
Lineage: Bacteria
Description: partial small subunit ribosomal RNA
Rfam family: Bacterial small subunit ribosomal RNA
Source: RNAcentral
AGAAUCAACGCUGGCGGCGUGCCUAAUACAUGCAAGUCGUACGCGAAGACCCCGCAAGGGGUUGUUAGCGUGGCAAACGGGUGAGUAACGCGUGGGCGACCUACCUCAGAGUGGGGGAUAACCUUCCGAAAGGGAGGCUAAUACCGCAUGACAUCCCGUGUUUAGAUACACGGACAUCAAAGCCGGGAUCGCAAGACCUGGCGCUUGGAGAGGGGCCUACGUCCGAUUAGCUAGUUGGUGGGUAACGGCUCACCAAGGCGACGAUCGGUAU